CCUACGGGUGGCAGCAGUGAGGAAUAUUGGUCAAUGGCCGGAAGGCUGAACCAGCCAUGCCGCGUGAAGGUCAGUGCCCUAUGGGCGUUAAACUUCUUUUGUGCGGGAGCAAUACUGGUCACGUGUGGCCAGACGAGAGUACCGUACGAAUAAGCAUCGGCUAACUCCGUGCCAGCAGCCGCGGUAACACGGGGGAUGCAAGCGUUAUCCGGAUUUAUUGGGUUUAAAGGGUGCGUAGGCUGGGAGGUAAGUCAGCGGUGGAAAGCCCCCGCUCAACGGGGUGAAGUGCCAUUGAUACUGCCUGGCUGGAAUGCGGAUGCCGUGGGAGGAAUGUGUGGUGUAGCGGUGAAAUGCAUAGAUAUCACACAGAACACCGAUUGCGAAGGCAUCUCACGAAGCCGCGAUUGACGCUGAUGCACGAAAGCGUGGGUAUCAAACAGGAUUAGAUACCCUAGUAGUC
Molecule: ribosomal RNA, 460 nt
Filed under: uncultured bacterium
Lineage: Bacteria
Description: partial 16S ribosomal RNA
Rfam family: Bacterial small subunit ribosomal RNA
Source: RNAcentral